AUGACAUUUCAAAUUAAAAAAAAUAAAGAAACAUAUACUUUCCUGAAACACACCGAGUAUCGUCAAGUUCUGUCCCAACCAAUUAGGUUGCAAAUACAGUCUGUAUUUUUCAACAUUAAAUAUUUUUUCGCACAAAAAUUAACGAUAAAAAGUACAAGGCACAGAUUUCAAUUUUCUUAGUGCUUGGGCAGCUCUAUACUGCUUGAAUGUCACCAAAACAGGGGUGUUGAAUAAAAAAUUUAAAAAAGCCAAUUUUAACAAUAUCCUCCCUUUAAUUAUACAAAUCUGUUGUUAUAUAGUGUUAGGAAAUAUUCCAUUGUGCAUUCUUGUUUAAUCAGGUGUAUACAUUCAGCUUCAGUGGUCUCUCAACUGUGGUCUGAUGUUCAGAAAAACUAAUCCCAAAAGAAUACUAAACCAGCAAGAGCUUUGCACCAGGAAAUAUCCCAAUGAUAGCAACAUUAUUAUAGCCAAUCACAGUGAUCGAUCUGUGCCAUGAGGCUGAGCUCAAUACCUCAAUUUUUAAAGCACUGAAUACAGCACACUGCUAUGAAUUAUUAAGGAGAUGUGCUGGGAGAUCCAUUCAAAUGCAUACAAACUGCACUCUCUUUCUCUCUCUCUCUCACACACACACACACACACACACACACACACACACACACACUACAUUCAUUCACUCAGUACUUCUAAAGGUAGCUGUUCAUUAAAUCUAAGCUUGCCAAUGCAGAAGAACUGAACUGUUAGGCUAACACACAUUGUAUGAAUUUACAGGUCUAAUAAACAUGCUCUGCACGGUGACAUUAAACCCCAGACUAAAAAGUUUUCAUAUUUAAUAAGUGGCUACACACGCUACUAGAUAUAAUCUGAAAUGCUGUCCUGCAUGAAGUCGUUUCUUAAUCUUUCUUGGCUCCACAAACUUUACAUGAUGGCAUGGUUUCAAUGGUCAGACUACAAUCCAUCCAAUCCUGCAACCAUAGCAGAUGUCAAGUUUGCGCGCUCAUGGAUCGCGGGAGCGCGCAUCGUCUCUGUCCAGGGUGCUGAAAGGUAAUCGUUUGAGACAGUAAUCAGCUGUCAACAUUCAUCGUUUCAUUUGCCUCCCCUUCUGCUUUUCACAAGACGUGAUAAUGCAAAAUGAGCCACAUGAUGACCCUCUAUGAGGUGUCAAG
Long non-coding RNA from Ictalurus punctatus (channel catfish), 1163 nucleotides. NCBI's taxonomy places the organism in Eukaryota, Metazoa, Chordata, Actinopteri, Siluriformes, Ictaluridae. The record is from Ensembl.